This 161-nucleotide ribosomal RNA is filed under the name Rheum tanguticum. Its description in RNAcentral is "5.8S ribosomal RNA". It matches the Rfam family "5.8S ribosomal RNA". Rfam says of the family: 5.8S ribosomal RNA (5.8S rRNA) is a component of the large subunit of the eukaryotic ribosome. The record is from RNAcentral. Lineage: Eukaryota; Viridiplantae; Streptophyta; Magnoliopsida; Caryophyllales; Polygonaceae.
AGAACGACACUCGGCAAUGGAUAUCUUGGCUCUCGCAUCGAUGAAGAACGUAGCGAAAUGCGAUACUUGGUGUGAAUUGCAGAAUCCCACGAACCAUCGAGUCUUUGAACGCAAGUUGCGCCCGAAGCCUUCUGGCCGAGGGCACGUCUGUCUGGGCAUCA